CGAUAAAAGGGGUGAGAGACCCCUUCGCCGAAAGAUCAAGGUUUCCUGCGCAAUGCUAAUCAGCGCAGGGUUAGCCGGCCCCUAAGGCGAGGCCGAAAGGCGUAGUCGAUGGGAACCAGGUUAAUAUUCCUGGGCCAGGAGGAUGUGACGGAUCUCGAAGGUAGUUCAUCCUUAUCGGAUUGAAUGGGCUGCUUAGAGGUUCCAGGAAAUAGCCCUCCAUGAGAUCGUACCCUAAACCGACACAGGUGGACUGGUAGAGAAUACCAAGGCGCUUGAGAGAACCACAUCAAAGGAACUCGGCAAAAUACCUCCGUAAGUUCGCGA
Molecule: ribosomal RNA, 324 nt
Filed under: Ochromonas sp. CCMP1393
Lineage: Eukaryota; Chrysophyceae; Chromulinales; Chromulinaceae
Description: partial Bacterial large subunit ribosomal RNA
Rfam family: Bacterial large subunit ribosomal RNA
Source: RNAcentral